GGCAACGGACGGAAGUAUGACCGAGCAACGCCGCGUGAGUGAAGAAGGUUUUCGGAUCGUUAAGCUCUUUUGUAAGAGAAGAACGAGUGUGAGAGUGGAAAGUUCACACUGUGCCGGUAUCUUACCAGAAAGGGACGGCUAACUACGCUACCACGCACCCGCGGUAAUACGUAGGUCCCGAGCGUUGUCCAGAUUUAUUGGGCGUAAAGGGAGCGCAGGCGGUUAGAAAAGUCUGAAGUUAAAGGCUGUGGGUUAACCACUAGUAGGCUUUGGAAUACUGUUUAACUUGAGUGCAUAGAGGGGAGGAGUGGAUGUACCAUGAGUAGUCGGUGAUAGUGAGUAGAUAUAUGGAGGAGCAACUCGGUGGCGAAAGCGGCUGCCCGCUGUGGAACUGACGAUGAUGAUCGAAGCGUGGGGAGUCAAACCAGGAUUAGAUUAACCAUGCGUAGUCCACGACCGUUACGAUGAGUGCUAGGUGUUAGACCCUUUCCGG
RNAcentral lists this ribosomal RNA (493 nucleotides) under uncultured Streptococcus sp. RNAcentral describes it as "bacterial SSU rRNA". It matches the Rfam family "Bacterial small subunit ribosomal RNA", at positions 367 to 837 of the family's 1533-position model. Lineage: Bacteria; Bacillati; Bacillota; Bacilli; Lactobacillales; Streptococcaceae. The record is from RNAcentral.